GUUGGGUAGUCCGCACGAGCGCACCCUUGUCCUUAGUUGCCAACGGGUUAAGGUGGGCACUCUAACGAAACUGCCGGUGACAAACCGGAGGAAGGUGGGGAUGACGUCAAGUCAUCAUGGCCCUUACGGCCUGGGCUACACACGUGCUACAAUGGCCGGUACAAAGGGUUGCCAAGGCGCGAGGUGGAGCUAAUCCCAUAAAACCGAUCGCAGUCCGGAUCGCAGUCUGCAACUCGACUGCGUGAAGUCGGAAUCGCUAGUAAUCGUGAAUCAAAAUGUCGCGGUGAAUACGUUCCCGGGCCUUGUACACACCCGCCCGUACC
Molecule: ribosomal RNA, 323 nt
Filed under: uncultured bacterium
Lineage: Bacteria
Description: bacterial SSU rRNA
Rfam family: Bacterial small subunit ribosomal RNA
Source: RNAcentral